CAGUAGCCGCGGUAAUACGUAGGUGGCAAGCGUUGUCCGGAAUUAUUGGGCGUAAAGGGCUCGCAGGCGGCUUCUUAAGUCUGAUGUGAAAGCCCCCGGCUCAACCGGGGAGGGUCAUUGGAAACUGGGAAACUUGAGUGCAGAAGAGGAGAGUGGAAUUCCACGUGUAGCGGUGAAAUGCGUAGAGAUGUGGAGGAACACCAGUGGCGAAGGCGACUCUCUGGUCUGUAACUGACGCUGAGGAGCGAAAGCGUGGGGAGCGAACAGGAUUAGAUACCCGUGUAGUCCCUGUCUCUUAUAC
This 301-nucleotide ribosomal RNA is filed under the name uncultured bacterium. Its description in RNAcentral is "partial 16S ribosomal RNA". It matches the Rfam family "Bacterial small subunit ribosomal RNA", at positions 509 to 807 of the family's 1533-position model. The record is from RNAcentral.